GAUGAACGCUAGCUACAGGCUUAACACAUGCAAGUCGAGGGGCAGCGGGAUUGAAGCUUGCUUCAAUUGCCGGCGACCGGCGCACGGGUGAGUAACGCGUAUCCAACCUUCCGUACACUCAGGGAUAGCCUUUCGAAAGAAAUAUUAAUACCUGAUGGUAUGAUGAGAUUGCAUGAUAUCAUCAUUAAAGAUUUAUCGUUGUACGAUGGGGAUGCGUUCCAUUAGGUAGUAGGCGGGGUAACGGCCCACCUAGCCAACGAUGGAUAGGGGUUCUGAGAGGAAGGUCCCCCACAUUGGAACUGAGACACGGUCCAAACUCCUACGGGAGGCAGCAGUGAGGAAUAUUGGUCAAUGGACGAGAGUCUGAACCAGCCAAGUAGCGUGAAGGAUGAAGGUCCUACGGAUUGUAAACUUCUUUUAUAAGGGAAUAAACCCUCCCACGUGUGGGAGCUUGUAUGUACCUUAUGAAUAAGCAUCGGCUAACUCCGUG
RNAcentral lists this ribosomal RNA (490 nucleotides) under uncultured bacterium. Its description in RNAcentral is "partial 16S ribosomal RNA". It matches the Rfam family "Bacterial small subunit ribosomal RNA", at positions 28 to 507 of the family's 1533-position model. The record is from RNAcentral.